UACGAGGGGGGCAAGCGUUGUUCGGAAUUAUUGGGCGUAAAGGGUGCGUAGGCGGUUUGGUAAGUCUUAUGUGAAAUCUACAGGCUCAACUUGUAGUCUGCAUGAGAAACUGCCGGGCUUGAGUAUGGGAGAGGUGAGUGGAAUUACCGGUGUAGCGGUGAAAUGCGUAGAUAUCGGUAGGAACACCAGUGGCGAAGGCGGUCUCCUGGGGCAUUCUUGACGCUGAGGCGCGAAAGCUGGGGGAGCAAACGGG
RNAcentral lists this ribosomal RNA (253 nucleotides) under uncultured bacterium. RNAcentral's name for it is "partial 16S ribosomal RNA". It matches the Rfam family "Bacterial small subunit ribosomal RNA", at positions 524 to 776 of the family's 1533-position model. The record is from RNAcentral.